Molecule: ribosomal RNA, 505 nt
Filed under: uncultured bacterium
Lineage: Bacteria
Description: partial 16S ribosomal RNA
Rfam family: Bacterial small subunit ribosomal RNA
Source: RNAcentral
GACGAACGCUGGCGGCGUGCCUAAUACAUGCAAGUCGAACGCACAGUUUAUACCGUGUCUUGCUACACCAUAGACUGUGAGUUGCGAACGGGUUAGUAACGCGUAAGUAACCUGCCUGGUAGCGUGGGAUAACUAUUGGAAACGAUAGCUAAUACCGUAUAAUAUUAAUUAUUGCAUGAUUAUUUAUUUAAAUGUUCAAUUACACCACUACCAAAUGGACCUGCGGUGUAUUAGCUAAUAGGGUAGGUAACGGCUCACCUAGGGGAAGAUAAAUAGCCGACCUAGGAGGGUGAUAGGCCACACUGGGAGUGAGAGACGGCCCAGACUCCUACGGGAGGAAGGCGUAGGGAAUCUUAGGAAAUGGAAGAAAGGCUGACCGAGCAACGGCGCGUGAGUGAAGAAGGUUUUAGGAUCGUAAAGAUCUGUUGUAAGGGAAGAAAGGGUGUGAGAGUGGAAAGUUCACACUGUGACGGUAUCUUAGCAGAAAGGGACGGCUAACUACGUG